CACAGACAGCCAGGAGGUUGGCUUAGAAGCAGCCAUUCCUUAAAAGAGUGCGUAACAGCUCACUGGUCGAGCAUUUUUGCGCAGACAAUGUAACGGGGCUAAGCAUAAAACCGAAAUUCCGGAUUCAUGACAGAAGUUAUGAGUGGUAGGGGAGCAUUGAAUUAACUGACGAAGGAAUACCUGUGAGGGGUUCUGGAGGAGAUUCAAGAGAGAAUGCAGGCAUAAGUAACGAAAAAGCGGGUGCGAUCCCCGCUCGCCGAAAACCUAAGGUUUCCAGGGUAAAGGCAAUCUGCCCUGGGUAAGUCGGCCCCUAAGACGAGGACGAAAGUCGUAGCCGAUGGGAAACUGGUUUAUAAUCCAGUACUUAUUGAGUUUUGAUGGAAUGACGCAUGAGGUGAAAUCCGGCCGGGCGACGGUAGUCCCGGUCAAAGCAGCGAGUUUAUGAGGUUCUGGUUAAAAGAAGAACUGAGAUGAGCUGUGACAGCGAGGAACCAGAAAGUGGGACUGAAGCGGACGUAAUCAUGGUGACGAGAAAUAGUUCCUAAGUAAGGCUUAGUAAACCGUACCGGAAACCGACACAGGUAGGUAGGAUGAGUAAUCUAAGGCGCUCGAGCGAACUCGCGUUAAGGAACUCGGCAAAAUGCGCACGUAACUUCGGAAGAAGUGCGGCUCCCUUUAGAAAUACAGGGAGUGACACAAAGCAGGCCCAGGCGACUGUUUAUCAAAAACACAGCCAUCUGCGAACCAGCAAUGGGACGUAUAGGUGGUGACACCUGCCCGGUACUGGAAGGUUAAGAGGAGAUGUUAUCCGUAAGGAGAAGCAUUGAAUCGAAGCCCCAGCAAACGGCGGCCGUAACUAUAACGGUCCUAAGGUAGCGAAAUUCCUUGUCGGGUAAGUUCCGACCCGCACGAAUGGUGUAACGAUUCUGGGCACUGUCUCAACGCGAGACUCGGUGAAAUUUAUAUUCCGGUAAAGAAGCCGGAUACCCGUAAUUAGACGGAAAGACCCCGUGAACCUUCACCGCAGCUUAUCACUGGGAUUCUAUCCGCCAUGUGUAGGAUAGCCGGGAGGCUAUGAAGCGUGCGCGUUAGCGUGCGUGGAGCCGUUGGUGAAAUACCGGCCCUGGCGGAUGGGAUUUCUAACUCCGGUCCGUGAAGCCGGAUGGGGGACAGUGAUUGGCGGGCGGUUUGACUGGGGCGGUCGCCUCCUAAAGGGUAACGGAGGCGCGCGAAGGUCUCCUCGCGGUGGUUGGAAAUCAUCGUACGAGUGUAAAGGCACAAGGAGGCUUGACUGCGAGAGAGACAGCUCGAGCAGGUACGAAAGUAGGUCUUAGUGAUCUGGCGGUAGCGAGUGGAAGCGCCGUCACUUAACGGAUAAAAGGUACUCCGGGGAUAACAGGCUGAUUUUCCCCAAGAGUUCACAUCGACGGGAAAGUUUGGCACCUCGAUGUCGGCUCAUCGCAUCCUGGGGCUGGAGCAGGUCCCAAGGGUUUGGCUGUUCGCCAAUUAAAGCGGUACGUGAGCUGGGUUCAGAACGUCGCGAGACAGUUCGGUCCCUAUCUGCUAUGGGCGUUGGAUAUGUGAGAGGGGCUGCUUUUAGUACGAGAGGACCGAAGUGGACGAACCUCUGGUGUACCAGUUAUCCUGCCAAGGGUAAGUGCUGGGUAGCUAUCGUUCGGAAGGGAUAACCGCUGAAGGCAUCUAAGCGGGAAGCCCACCUCAAGAUUACAUAUCCCUCGGGGUUUAACCCCGCUAAAGACUCCUUGCACACUACAAGGUUGAUAGGUUGCAGGUCUAAGCACAGUAAUGUGUUCUAGCCGAGCAAUACUAAUAAGUCGUGAGGCUUGACCAU
Molecule: ribosomal RNA, 1852 nt
Filed under: human oral metagenome
Description: bacterial LSU rRNA
Rfam family: Bacterial large subunit ribosomal RNA
Source: RNAcentral